AUUGGACGCUGGCGGCAUGCCUUACACAUGCAAGUCGAACGGCAGCACGGGGCAACCUGGUGGCGAGUGGCGAACGGGUGAGUAAUGCAUCGGAACGUGCCAUUGAGUGGGGGAUAACGUAGCGAAAGUUGCGCUAAUACCGCAUAUUCUGUGAGCAGGAAAGCAGGGGACCGCAAGGCCUUUGCGCUCUUUGAGCGGCCGAUGUCAGAUUAGCUAGUUGGUGAGGUAACGGCUUACCAAGGCGACGAUCUGUAGCGGGUCUGAGAGGAUGAUCCGUCACACUGGAACUGAGACACGGUCCAGACUCCUACGGGAGGCAGCAGUGGGGAAUUUUUGGACAAUGGGCGCAAGCCUGAUCCAGCCAUGCCGCGUGAGUGAAGAAGGCCUUC
This 389-nucleotide ribosomal RNA is filed under the name uncultured bacterium. RNAcentral describes it as "bacterial SSU rRNA". It matches the Rfam family "Bacterial small subunit ribosomal RNA", at positions 30 to 419 of the family's 1533-position model. The record is from RNAcentral.